This 468-nucleotide ribosomal RNA is filed under the name uncultured bacterium. RNAcentral describes it as "partial 16S ribosomal RNA". It matches the Rfam family "Bacterial small subunit ribosomal RNA", at positions 28 to 507 of the family's 1533-position model. The record is from RNAcentral.
GACGAACGCUGGCGGCGUGCUUAACACAUGCAAGUCGAACGGAAAGGCCCUGCUUUUGUGGGGUGCUCGAGUGGCGAACGGGUGAGUAACACGUGAGUAACCUGCCCUUGACUUUGGGAUAACUUCAGGAAACUGGGGCUAAUCCCGGAUAGGAGCCCCUGCUGCUUGGUGGGGGUGGGAAAGUUUCGGCGGUUGGGGAUGGACUCGCGGCUUAUCAGCUUGUUGGUGGGGUAGUGGCUUACCAAGGCUUUGACGGGUAGCCGGCCUGAGAGGGUGACCGGCCACAUUGGGACUGAGAUACGGCCCAGACUCCUACGGGAGGCAGCAGUGGGGAAUAUUGCACAAUGGGCGGAAGCCUGAUGCAGCAACGCCGCGUGCGGGAUGACGGCCUUCGGGUUGUAAACCGCUUUCGCCUGUGACGAAGCGUGAGUGACGGUAAUGGGUAAAGAAGCACCGGCUAACUACGUG